GAUGAACGCUGGUGGCGUGCCUAACACAUGCAAGUCGAGCGAUUCUCUUCGGAGAAGAGCGGCGGACGGGUGAGUAACGCGUGGGUAACCUGCCCUGUACACACGGAUAACAUACCGAAAGGUAUGCUAAUACGAGAUAACAUGCUUUUAUCGCAUGGUAGAAGUAUCAAAGCUUUUGCGGUACAGGAUGGACCCGCGUCUGAUUAGCUAGUUGGUGAGGUAACGGCUCACCAAGGCGACGAUCAGUAGCCGACCUGAGAGGGUGAUCGGCCACAUUGGAACUGAGACACGGUCCAAACUCCUACGGGAGGCAGCAGUGGGGAAUAUUGCACAAUGGGCGAAAGCCUGAUGCAGCAACGCCGCGUGAGCGAUGAAGGCCUUCGGGUCGUAAAGCUCUGACCUCAAGGAAGAUAAUGACGGUACUUGAGGAGGAAGCCCCGGCUAACUACGUG
RNAcentral lists this ribosomal RNA (452 nucleotides) under uncultured bacterium. RNAcentral describes it as "partial 16S ribosomal RNA". It matches the Rfam family "Bacterial small subunit ribosomal RNA", at positions 28 to 507 of the family's 1533-position model. The record is from RNAcentral.